CCCUUAGAUGUCCUGGGCCGCACGCGUGCUACACUGACGCCUACAGCGAGCACUUUCCAGCCCCGAGAGGCGGCUGGUAAUCAGCAAUAGGCGUCGUGAUGGGGAUAGAUCUUUGGAAUUAUGGAUCUUGAACGAGGAAUGCCUAGUAAGCGCAGGUCAUUAGCCUGCGCUGAUUAAGUCCCUGCCCUUUGUACACACCGCCCGUCGCUCCUACCGAUUGAGUGGUCCGGUGAAUUAUUCGGACUGCAACGCGUUCAGCUUCUGGAUGCAGUUGCGGAAAGUUUUGUAAACCUUAUCACUUAGAGGAAGGAGAAGUCGUAACA
Molecule: ribosomal RNA, 323 nt
Filed under: uncultured eukaryote
Lineage: Eukaryota
Description: partial 18S ribosomal RNA
Rfam family: Eukaryotic small subunit ribosomal RNA
Source: RNAcentral